This 493-nucleotide ribosomal RNA is filed under the name uncultured bacterium. RNAcentral describes it as "partial 16S ribosomal RNA". It matches the Rfam family "Bacterial small subunit ribosomal RNA", at positions 29 to 523 of the family's 1533-position model. The record is from RNAcentral.
AUUGAACGCUGGCGGCAUGCUUUACACAUGCAAGUCGAACGGUAACAGGUUAAGCUGACGAGUGGCGAACGGGUGAGUAAUGCAUCGGAACGUGCCCGAUCGUGGGGGAUAACGCAGCGAAAGCUGCGCUAAUACCGCAUGCGAUCUGAGGAUGAAAGCGGGGGACCGUAAGGCCUCGCGCGAUCGGAGCGGCCGAUGGCAGAUUAGGUAGUUGGUGGGGUAAAGGCCCACCAAGCCGACGAUCUGUAGCUGGUCUGAGAGGACGACCAGCCACACUGGGACUGAGACACGGCCCAGACUCCUACGGGAGGCAGCAGUGGGGAAUUUUGGACAAUGGGCGAAAGCCUGAUCCAGCAAUGCCGCGUGCAGGAAGAAGGCCUUCGGGUUGUAAACUGCUUUUGUACGGAGCGAAAAGGUCCUUUCUAAUACAAGGGGCUCAUGACGGUACCGUAAGAAUAAGCACCGGCUAACUACGUGCCAGCCGCCGCAGUAA